RNAcentral lists this ribosomal RNA (253 nucleotides) under uncultured bacterium. RNAcentral describes it as "partial 16S ribosomal RNA". It matches the Rfam family "Bacterial small subunit ribosomal RNA", at positions 524 to 776 of the family's 1533-position model. The record is from RNAcentral.
UACGGAGGGUGCAAGCGUUGUUCGGAAUCACUGGGCGUAAAGGGCGUGUAGGCGGCCUGGGGCGUCCCAUGUGAAAGGCCACGGCUCAACCGUGGAGGAGCGUGGGAUACGCUCAGGCUAGAGGGUGGGAGAGGGUGGUGGAAUUCCCGGAGUAGCGGUGAAAUGCGCAGAUACCGGAAGGAACGCCGAUGGCGAAGGCAGCCACCUGGUCCACUUCUGACGCUGAGGCGCGAAAGCGUGGGGAGCAAACCGG